Mytilus californianus (California mussel) is the source of this 4241-nucleotide RNA transcript. It is a transcript of the gene named WD repeat-containing protein 48-like, with no coding region annotated. NCBI's taxonomy places the organism in Eukaryota, Metazoa, Mollusca, Bivalvia, Mytilida, Mytilidae. The record is from RefSeq and is a predicted model, not a curated record. The transcript has 20 exons.
CUCAUGUUAUCAAUGGCUACACACCACAGAAAUUCGGCAGGACAAGGCAAAAAGAAAGUUCAGGUUUCUUUUGUAAUCCGAGAUGAGGUUGAAAGACAUCACAGAUCUGGGAUUAACUCCCUUCAGUUUGACCCACUUAUUAACAGACUAUACUCUGCUGGGAGAGACUCCAUUAUCAGAAUUUUUAACACAAAGACAAAUAAGGAUCCAUACAUGUUAUCAAUGGAACACCAUACAGACUGGGUGAAUGAUAUUGUCCUCUGCUGUGGUGGGAGAACACUAAUUUCUGCAUCAAGUGACACAACAGUCAAAGUAUGGAAUGCUCACAAAGGUUUCUGUAUGUCAACAUUACGUACUCACAAGGAUUAUGUUAAGGCACUAGCGUAUGCCAGAGAUAAAGAACAAGUAGCCUCAGCAGGAUUAGAUCGAGCCAUUUUCCUGUGGGAUGUUAACACACUGACAGCACUCACUGCUUCAAAUAAUACAGUUACUACAUCAAGUCUGAAUGGAAAUAAGGAUUCUAUCUACAGCUUAGCAAUGAACCCUCCCGGUUCUGUCAUAGUUUCAGGGUCUACAGAAAAGGUGUUGAGGGUCUGGGACCCCAGGACGUGUCAGAAACUGAUGAAAUUAAAGGGCCAUGCUGAUAAUGUAAAGGCAUUGGUCCUGAAUAGAGAUGGUACACAGUGUUUGUCUGGCAGUUCUGAUGGAACAAUACGAUUAUGGUCACUAGGACAACAGAGAUGUGUAUCUACGUUCAGAGUACAUGACGAGGGUGUUUGGACCUUACAGGCAAACGAUUCAUUUUCUGUGGUGUAUUCUGCUGGACGUGACCGUAGAGUGUGGGCAACUGACAUCAGAAAUCCAGAAUAUAGAACUCUUAUUUGUGAAGAGAAGGCACCAGUCUUAAGGCUUGAAUUAUCCAAUGUAGAACAACCAUCAUUAUGGGUAGCAACAACAGACUCUUGUAUCAAAAACUGGCCUUUACAGAAAGUGUCCAAGCGGAUGUCUGGUGGUUACGACAACGAUACAGUUUCACCUAUUUAUACACAACCAGAUUUUACCAUCAAAGGUGGGUCCAGCAUUAGACAGUAUUAUGUAUUGAAUGACAAGAGACACAUUCUGACCAAAGAUACUGACGAUCAUGUGGCAUUGUGGGACGUCUUAACGGCCAGGAAAGUUGAAGAUUUGGGAAAGGUAGAUUUUGAAGAUGAAAUAAAGAAAAGAUUUAAGAUGGUUUAUGUACCAAACUGGUUUACUGUAGAUCUGAAAACAGGGUUAUUAACUAUACACUUGGAUGAAUCAGACUGUUUUGCAGCCUGGAUGUCAGCCAAAGAACUUGGUCUAGUUGCUGCUAAUGAAAGUACCGACACUAAAUUAAAUAUUGGGCAGCAGCUGCUUCAGGCAUUACUGGAACACUGGCCUAAAACACAUAUAUUUGAAGGUCAAGAUAAUAUAAAUGGUAUGAUGACAGACAGUGGUGCAGGUGACGCCUGUCAACCUUACUUCUGUGUUCCUGGUCAUACACCUGUCAUAUUCUGUGAGGUUGGAGGCAGAGCUCUAUUCAGACUAUUAGCCAGAGAUGCUGGAGGAGACACAGAACAAAUGUUACUGAAUGAGACAGUACCUUCCUGGGUUGUGGAUGUUGUUGUUCAUAGAAAUACACCAAAAUCCAAUAAGAUACCAUUCUUCUUACAACCUCAUCCAUGUACUGGUAUUAAAACAAUCAAAAAAGACAGAUUGUCAGCUAGUGAUAUGAUACAGGUUAGAAAGGUCAUAGAGCAUGUGUAUGAGAAAGUUCUUGGUCAGGGUUCAGAAACUGGGUCACAGUCAGGAGGGAAUGGUGGAGGAGAGAAGACAGAGAAAGAGAAAUCAUCAGAUUCUGCAAUGACAGAAGAGAAAGUAGAAUUAUUGUGCAAUGAACAGGUAUGGCAAUGACAGAAGAGAAAGUAGAAUUAUUGUGCAAUGAACAGGUAUGGCAAUGACAGAAGAGAAAGUAGAAUUAUUGUGCAAUGAACAGGUAUGGCAAUGACAGAAGAGAAAGUAGAAUUAUUGUGCAAUGAACAGGUAUGGCAAUGACAGAAGAGAAAGUAGAAUUAUUGUGCAAUGAACAGGUCUUGGAUGCCAACAUGGACUUAAGGACUGUCAAACAUUUUAUCUGGAAACAGAGUGGUGAUCUGACGUUACAUUAUAGACCCAUAUCUAAUAAAUGAACACCAAAGAUUAAAUGUAUAGUAAAAUGAAUUAAGUUUGAAAUUCACAAAAAGGGAGAUCUUAUCAGUGUUACAUAUAUAUAUAUAUGAAAGACCUGUGUGAUAUUCACUGAGAUUGAAGUUGGAGGACUGAUAUUGUUAAACCCUUAUUUCUGAUGUAGAAAUCUCAUACAGAAGAUCUUUGUGGUAUUCACUGAGGUUAAAGUUGGAGGACUGAUAUUGUUAAACCCUUAGUUCUGAUGUAGAAAUCUCAUGCAGAAGAUCUUUAAAGAAAUGUUUGUGCAAUAGAACUGCUUUGUUGUCUGACCAGGAAAUUGUGUGGAUGUUAGACAUUGCAGCUUGACAGCACACAUUGUAUAUUUACUAUAAGUCUGAUAUUGAAAGUUAUUUAUUUAAUGUAUGUAACUUUUUCAUGGAUUUAAAGUAUCUAGUUAGAAGUGGAUAAUGCACCAAAAUGGUCAAGUUGACAUUAUAGCUUUGGAGAGAGCUGUUUAGAGGGACCUCUUAAUGUAUCUUAGUGAAAAUUAUUACGGGAAAUCUUUUAUUAUUUGUUACAUCUAUCUAUCAAUUAUCUAUUAACCCUAUGGACUGUGUAAGAAAUCAUUAACAAAUUGAGUAAGAGGCACAAAUUUAACCCCUCCCUUAAACUCACAUAAAAUUAUUCUCUUUAAAAUCAUCUGAUCAUUGUUUUGAAAGAUUCAUGCUGCUUGUCAUUUUUGAAGUUGUUUAAAUCUGGACAUUUCUGUAUUUUGGUAAGUUUGAAGCAUACUUUGAACAAUGUAGAAUUGUUCUUUAAUUUCUUUCGUCUUAUCAAUUCAAAUUGAUUUUUAUAUAACCGCAAAAAAUUUUUGGGUCGUAUAUUGCUAUCACGUCAUCGUUGUCCGAAAUUUGGUUUCCGGACAAUAACUUCAGUUUAAGUGUAAAAAGUUGGGGUUUAGACCAUUUCCUCCAUUUUUACCAAGGUAUCUGAAAACAGAUUUACUACAGUGUAUUGCACAACAGCAAGAAAUCGUCAAUUGAAUAUAAAUUCAAAUCAUGUAACCAAUUUCAAGUUCUUUGACUACAUUUAUUCUGUGUCAGAAACCUAUAAUGUGUCAAAUAUUUAAUUACAAUCUAAAUUCAGACCUGUAUCAAGCUUGAAUAUUGUGUCCAUUAUUGCCCCAACUGUUCCGGGUUGGACCUCUGCAGUCGUAUCCAACUGCGCUCGGCGAAGCAGUUUAUUGUUUUUGGGGCAACAACUUCAGACUGAAUCUUAGAAUUGAUAUUUUUUAUAUAUUAAUGACUGUGACUGGCCAGGUUUAGAUUUAAUUGUUCUAUCAAAUUCUGGCUUCCCCUAUUUGAAAAACACCCUAAAUUAAAUUUUUAUUUUUUAAUAAUAAAAAUAAUGAAGUAAGUAUGCUACAUAAACUUCUCCCUCUUUUGUCUAAACUGUUUUGUAUAAAAUUUCCAAAAAUCUGUUACAUUUUAUGUUAGUUUUCAGUCAAGAUAGUGUAGUGUGAGUAAUUCAAAGAGAGACGUUAUAAUCAGAUUCUAGUGCUAUAAAGUCGAAAAUAGUUGUGAUGGGUUUAAUUUUGCUAAUUUUCAAUUCAGAUAACAUCUUGGAAAAUAAGAACUGAUACAUUUUAUCUGGAAACUUUGUUCAUGUAACUUAACAUUAACUUAUAAAUAAACUAGAAAGAUUAUAGAUAACUUGAUAAUAAAUUUAGUCAGCAAAACAGAAGAUCCUAUAGAUGAGAUAUAUAUAAUAUAUACAUGAAAGACCUUUGUUAUAUUCACUGAGGUUCAAGUAUGAGGACUGAUGUUGCAAUUCAGAUUAUUUCAUUGAACAUAUCCCCUCACUUUAUGUUGAUUGUUUAGGAAGAUCAAAAGAGAGGACAAGAAAGUCUAAGAAGACUUAUACCUAGAAAACUCAGCAAAAAUUAUCCAUUUUACAGUAUGAUUAAUGAUAUAAUUUACAUAGAGACUGAAGGCAUUAGUUUGUUGUUUAUAUUUGUUUAUUUUGUUAUAAAUAAAUUAUUUAUUUUAAUUACA